GGGUUGUGAGGUUAAGCGACUAAGCGUACACGGUGGAUGCCCUGGCAGUCAGAGGCGAUGAAGGACGUGCUAAUCUGCGAAAAGCGUCGGUAAGGUGAUAUGAACCGUUAUAGCCGGCGAUGUCCGAAUGGGGAAACCCAGUGCAAUUCGUUGCACUAUCGUUAACUGAAUACAUAGGUUAACGAGGCGAACCGGGGGAACUGAAACAUCUAAGUACCCCGAGGAAAAGAAAUCAACCGAGAUUCCCCCAGUAGCGGCGAGCGAACGGGGAGCAGCCCAGAGUCUGAAUCAGCUUGUGUGUUAGUGGAACGGUCUGGAAAGUCCGACGGUACAGGGUGAUAGUCCCGUACACCAAAAUGCACAGGCUGUGAACUCGAAGAGUAGGGCGGGACACGUGGUAUCCUGUCUGAAUAUGGGGGGACCAUCCUCCAAGGCUAAAUACUCCUGACUGACCGAUAGUGAACCAGUACCGUGAGGGAAAGGCGAAAAGAACCCCGGCGAGGGGAGUGAAAAAGAACCUGAAACCGUGUACGUACAAGCAGUGGGAGCACCUUCGGGUGUGACUGCGUACCUUUUGUAUAAUGGGUCAGCGACUUAUAUUCUGUAGCAAGGUUAACCGUAUAGGGGAGCCGCAGGGAAACCGAGUCUUAACUGGGCGUUAAGUUGCAGGGUAUAGACCCGAAACCCGGUGAUCUAGCCAUGGGCAGGUUGAAGGUUGGGUAACACUAACUGGAGGACCGAACCGACUAAUGUUGAAAAAUUAGCGGAUGACUUGUGGCUGGGGGUGAAAGGCCAAUCAAACCGGGAGAUAGCUGGUUCUCCCCGAAAGCUAUUUAGGUAGCGCCUCGUGAACUCAUCUUCGGGGUAGAGCACUGUUUCGGCUAGGGGGUCAUCCCGACUUACCAACCCGAUGCAAACUACGAAUACCGAAGAAUGUUAUCACGGGAGACACACGGCGGGUGCUAACGUCCGUCGUGAAGAGGGAAACAACCCAGACCGCCAGCUAAGGUCCCAAAGUCAUGGUUAAGUGGGAAACGAUGUGGGAAGGCACAGACAGCCAGGAUGUUGGCUUAGAAGCAGCCAUCAUUUAAAGAAAGCGUAAUAGCUCACUGGUCGAGUCGGCCUGCGCGGAAGAUGUAACGGGGCUAAACCAUGCACCGAAGCUGCGGCAGCGACACUAUGUGUUGUUGGGUAGGGGAGCGUUCUGUAAGCCUGCGAAGGUGUGCUGUGAGGCAUGCUGGAGGUAUCAGAAGUGCGAAUGCUGACAUAAGUAACGAUAAAGCGGGUGAAAAGCCCGCUCGCCGGAAGACCAAGGGUUCCUGUCCAACGUUAAUCGGGGCAGGGUGAGUCGACCCCUAAGGCGAGGCCGAAAGGCGUAGUCGAUGGGAAACAGGUUAAUAUUCCUGUACUUGGUGUUACUGCGAAGGGGGGACGGAGAAGGCUAUGUUAGCCGGGCGACGGUUGUCCCGGUUUAAGCAUGUAGGCUGAUUGUCCAGGCAAAUCCGGAUAAUCAAGGCUGAGGUGUGAUGACGAGGCACUACGGUGCUGAAGUAACAAAUGCCCUGCUUCCAGGAAAAGCCUCUAAGCAUCAGGUAACAUUAAAUCGUACCCCAAACCGACACAGGUGGUCAGGUAGAGAAUACCAAGGCGCUUGAGAGAACUCGGGUGAAGGAACUAGGCAAAAUGGUGCCGUAACUUCGGGAGAAGGCACGCUGGUGUGUAGGUGAAGUCCCUGCGGAUGGAGCUGAGACCAGUCGAAGAUACCAGCUGGCUGCAACUGUUUAUUAAAAACACAGCACUGUGCAAACACGAAAGUGGACGUAUACGGUGUGACGCCUGCCCGGUGCCGGAAGGUUAAUUGAUGGGGUUAUCCGUAAGGAGAAGCUCUUGAUCGAAGCCCCGGUAAACGGCGGCCGUAACUAUAACGGUCCUAAGGUAGCGAAAUUCCUUGUCGGGUAAGUUCCGACCUGCACGAAUGGCGUAAUGAUGGCCAGGCUGUCUCCACCCGAGACUCAGUGAAAUUGAACUCGCUGUGAAGAUGCAGUGUACCCGCGGCAAGACGGAAAGACCCCGUGAACCUUUACUAUAGCUUGACACUGAACAUUGAGCCUUGAUGUGUAGGAUAGGUGGGAGGCUUUGAAGCGUGGACGCCAGUCUGCGUGGAGCCAACCUUGAAAUACCACCCUUUAAUGUUUGAUGUUCUAACGUUGGCCCCUUACCGGGGUUGCGGACAGUGUCUGGUGGGUAGUUUGACUGGGGCGGUCUCCUCCCAAAGCGUAACGGAGGAGCACGAAGGUUAGCUAAUCCUGGUCGGACAUCAGGAGGUUAGUGCAAUGGCAUAAGCUAGCUUGACUGCGAGCGUGACGGCGCGAGCAGGUGCGAAAGCAGGUCAUAGUGAUCCGGUGGUUCUGAAUGGAAGGGCCAUCGCUCAACGGAUAAAAGGUACUCCGGGGAUAACAGGCUGAUACCGCCCAAGAGUUCAUAUCGACGGCGGUGUUUGGCACCUCGAUGUCGGCUCAUCACAUCCUGGGGCUGAAGUAGGUCCCAAGGGUAUGGCUGUUCGCCAUUUAAAGUGGUACGCGAGCUGGGUUUAGAACGUCGUGAGACAGUUCGGUCCCUAUCUGCCGUGGGCGCUGGAGAAUUGAGGGGGGCUGCUCCUAGUACGAGAGGACCGGAGUGGACGCAUCACUGGUGUUCGGGUUGUCAUGCCAAUGGCACUGCCCGGUAGCUAAAUGCGGAAGAGAUAAGUGCUGAAAGCAUCUAAGCACGAAACUUGCCCCGAGAUGAGUUCUCCCUGAGACUUUAAGUCUCCUGAAGGAACGUUAAAGACGAUGACGUUGAUAGGCCGGGUGUGUAAGCGCAGCGAUGCGUUGAGCUAACCGGUACUAAUGAACCGUGAGGCUUAACCUUACAACGCCGAAG
Molecule: ribosomal RNA, 2922 nt
Filed under: Klebsiella pneumoniae
Lineage: Bacteria; Pseudomonadati; Pseudomonadota; Gammaproteobacteria; Enterobacterales; Enterobacteriaceae
Description: bacterial LSU rRNA
Rfam family: Bacterial large subunit ribosomal RNA
Source: RNAcentral